GAGUGGGUACUUCCAAUAACUGUGCAUGCACCUCCAGGAGGAGCUCCUGCAGCUCAGACAAGAAAUGACAGGUCAUUCUCUUUGGAACCCCUAUGGGUCCAUACAUAAAGUCUAUACACAUUCCGAAAAGUUAAAAUGCUUGGCUCCAUUACUGUUGAGAUAUCUCAUCGGCAACCCCUGGAGCUUGCCCACCCGCUUGUCCUCCAGGAUCUGAUUUCAGAAAGGAUGAAUAGUAACUGUGUUUCAGUAUUAUUGUAUUUU
This 261-nucleotide unclassified non-coding RNA is filed under the name Hevea brasiliensis (rubber tree). Lineage: Eukaryota; Viridiplantae; Streptophyta; Magnoliopsida; Malpighiales; Euphorbiaceae. The record is from RNAcentral.